AGCCCACUGGGGCCAGUAAGUGAACCAAACCACCAUAUGGUGAAGUAAGAAUAGUGAAUUAACGAACACAUAAUACGCAUCAUACGUUAGACUUGACAUAAACAGAGUAAGUGAACCAUCAACUAAAUCAAAUAAUAAUUGUGAUGAUAACAAUGAAUAAACAAAAAUAUUAAAGAUUAGUCAUGAGCAGACGGCGAAAGUGAACCAAUAACCAAAUCAAAUUAUACAUCAUAAUCAUAUAAAUCCUAAACGGAGGAAAAGUUCUUGGUUAAUAAUGACCAUAAAUAUACAUAACGAACACGCCAUGUGCAAUAAAAUCUAAAUAUAUCCAAGUGGGAUACAACAAAUAAUAAAUAAUCGAUGUGAAAAAUAAAUACUAAUGUUAGUAUAAAAAAGCAAAAGUGUAUGAAUACACCAAAUACAUAAUAUGUGAUGCCCAAGCAGGUCAUAAAAAUUAUGCCUAAUCAUAAAUAAAUUAUAGGGCAUCACUUACAAGUCAGCCUAUGGUGUGACUGCAGUCUCCA
RNAcentral lists this long non-coding RNA (524 nucleotides) under Mytilus galloprovincialis (Mediterranean mussel). Lineage: Eukaryota; Metazoa; Mollusca; Bivalvia; Mytilida; Mytilidae. The record is from RNAcentral.